UUAAGCGACUAAGCGUACACGGUGGAUGCCCUGGCAGUCAGAGGCGAUGAAGGACGUGCUAAUCUGCGAUAAGCGUCGGUAAGGUGAUAUGAACCGUUAUAACCGGCGAUUUCCGAAUGGGGAAACCCAGUGUGAUUCGUCACACUAUCAUUAACUGAAUCCAUAGGUUAAUGAGGCGAACCGGGGGAACUGAAACAUCUAAGUACCCCGAGGAAAAGAAAUCAACUGAGAUUCCCCCAGUAGCGGCGAGCGAACGGGGAGCAGCCCAGAGCCUGAAUCAGUGUGUGUGUUAGUGGAAGCGUCUGGAAGGCGCGCGAUACAGGGUGACAGCCCUGUACACAAAAAUGCACAUGCUGUGAGCUCGAUGAGUAGGGCGGGCCACGUGGUAUCCUGUCUGAAUAUGGGGGGACCAUCCUCCAAGGCUAAAUACUCCUGACUGACCGAUAGUGAACCAGUACCGUGAGGGAAAGGCGAAAAGAACCCCGGCGAGGGGAGUGAAAAAGAACCUGAAACCGUGUACGUACAAGCAGUGGGAGCACGCUUAGGCGUGUGACUGCGUACCUUUUGUAUAAUGGGUCAGCGACUUAUAUUCUGUAGCAAGGUUAACCGAAUAGGGGAGCCGAAGGGAAACCGAGUCUUAACUGGGCGUUAAGUUGCAGGGUAUAGACCCGAAACCCGGUGAUCUAGCCAUGGGCAGGUUGAAGGUUGGGUAACACUAACUGGAGGACCGAACCGACUAAUGUUGAAAAAUUAGCGGAUGACUUGUGGCUGGGGGUGAAAGGCCAAUCAAACCGGGAGAUAGCUGGUUCUCCCCGAAAGCUAUUUAGGUAGCGCCUCGUGAAUUCAUCUCCGGGGGUAGAGCACUGUUUCGGCAAGGGGGUCAUCCCGACUUACCAACCCGAUGCAAACUGCGAAUACCGGAGAAUGUUAUCACGGGAGACACACGGCGGGUGCUAACGUCCGUCGUGAAGAGGGAAACAACCCAGACCGCCAGCUAAGGUCCCAAAGUCAUGGUUAAGUGGGAAACGAUGUGGGAAGGCCCAGACAGCCAGGAUGUUGGCUUAGAAGCAGCCAUCAUUUAAAGAAAGCGUAAUAGCUCACUGGUCGAGUCGGCCUGCGCGGAAGAUGUAACGGGGCUAAACCAUGCACCGAAGCUGCGGCAGCGACGCUUAUGCGUUGUUGGGUAGGGGAGCGUUCUGUAAGCCUGUGAAGGUGUGCUGUGAGGCAUGCUGGAGGUAUCAGAAGUGCGAAUGCUGACAUAAGUAACGAUAAAGCGGGUGAAAAGCCCGCUCGCCGGAAGACCAAGGGUUCCUGUCCAACGUUAAUCGGGGCAGGGUGAGUCGACCCCUAAGGCGAGGCCGAAAGGCGUAGUCGAUGGGAAACAGGUUAAUAUUCCUGUACUUGGUGUUACUGCGAAGGGGGGACGGAGAAGGCUAUGUUGGCCGGGCGACGGUUGUCCCGGUUUAAGCGUGUAGGCUGGUUUUCCAGGCAAAUCCGGAAAAUCAAGGCUGAGGCGUGAUGACGAGGCACUACGGUGCUGAAGCAACAAAUGCCCUGCUUCCAGGAAAAGCCUCUAAGCAUCAGGUAACAUCAAAUCGUACCCCAAACCGACACAGGUGGUCAGGUAGAGAAUACCAAGGCGCUUGAGAGAACUCGGGUGAAGGAACUAGGCAAAAUGGUGCCGUAACUUCGGGAGAAGGCACGCUGAUAUGUAGGUGAAGUCCCUCGCGGAUGGAGCUGAAAUCAGUCGAAGAUACCAGCUGGCUGCAACUGUUUAUUAAAAACACAGCACUGUGCAAACACGAAAGUGGACGUAUACGGUGUGACGCCUGCCCGGUGCCGGAAGGUUAAUUGAUGGGGUCAGCGCAAGCGAAGCUCUUGAUCGAAGCCCCGGUAAACGGCGGCCGUAACUAUAACGGUCCUAAGGUAGCGAAAUUCCUUGUCGGGUAAGUUCCGACCUGCACGAAUGGCGUAAUGAUGGCCAGGCUGUCUCCACCCGAGACUCAGUGAAAUUGAACUCGCUGUGAAGAUGCAGUGUACCCGCGGCAAGACGGAAAGACCCCGUGAACCUUUACUAUAGCUUGACACUGAACAUUGAGCCUUGAUGUGUAGGAUAGGUGGGAGGCUUAGAAGUGUGGACGCCAGUCUGCAUGGAGCCGACCUUGAAAUACCACCCUUUAAUGUUUGAUGUUCUAACGUUGACCCGUAAUCCGGGUUGCGGACAGUGUCUGGUGGGUAGUUUGACUGGGGCGGUCUCCUCCUAAAGAGUAACGGAGGAGCACGAAGGUUGGCUAAUCCUGGUCGGACAUCAGGAGGUUAGUGCAAUGGCAUAAGCCAGCUUGACUGCGAGCGUGACGGCGCGAGCAGGUGCGAAAGCAGGUCAUAGUGAUCCGGUGGUUCUGAAUGGAAGGGCCAUCGCUCAACGGAUAAAAGGUACUCCGGGGAUAACAGGCUGAUACCGCCCAAGAGUUCAUAUCGACGGCGGUGUUUGGCACCUCGAUGUCGGCUCAUCACAUCCCGGGGCUGAAGUAGGUCCCAAGGGUAUGGCUGUUCGCCAUUUAAAGUGGUACGCGAGCUGGGUUUAGAACGUCGUGAGACAGUUCGGUCCCUAUCUGCCGUGGGCGCUGGAGAACUGAGGGGGGCUGCUCCUAGUACGAGA
Molecule: ribosomal RNA, 2659 nt
Filed under: Escherichia coli ThroopD
Lineage: Bacteria; Pseudomonadati; Pseudomonadota; Gammaproteobacteria; Enterobacterales; Enterobacteriaceae
Description: bacterial LSU rRNA
Rfam family: Bacterial large subunit ribosomal RNA
Source: RNAcentral